UGUGUUCCCUUAACUACAAAACUGCGAUAAUUUUGUAAAAGCUGCCACUCCAAGCUCAAAGUAUUGUUAUGAGGAUCAAAUACUUAAAUGUGCUUCACAGAUUGUAAAGUUUCAUACAAAUGCCUUUUUUAAUAACUUAUUAUUAUUAAGAUCAAAUAAUGAUGCGUCUCCAGGAGCAAAGAUGAGAGAGAUAGCGGGGGAAAACGAGCAAGUGCAUCCCUGAAAGAAGCAAAGUCUCUAACUAUUGCAUUAUCAAUUGCAAACGAAGUGCUACGUGGAACCAUGUUUUAUGAUGCAAGGGGGAGAAAGAGUAUAAUUUCUACUUCUGAUGCAAGAGGCAGAAAUAGUCAACUUUGACGAACGAUCCAUGUUUGAAGAUGCAAUUAGAAAAACCUCUCUCUUACUUGUAAGAUGAAAAAGCAUGAUACAGAUGAGACUGAAAGAAAUAUCUAACUCUUAAGCAUCCUGAUCUAAGGAAUUCAGCUUGAUUUUCCCCCCAAGGCACAGCAAUAUUGGGGAAAAACAGCUCAGAAACUUGGGGUUUUUUUUUAAGGUUUAUUUGUUCCAAGAAACUAACUUUCUUUCCAU
Molecule: long non-coding RNA, 588 nt
Organism: Homo sapiens (human)
Lineage: Eukaryota; Metazoa; Chordata; Mammalia; Primates; Hominidae
Source: Ensembl